AGCCCAGCUAAAAGAUGGUUGUGUUCUUCGACGGAAAGGAUAGGGUAUCGUUCCGAUUUAGUUUGGCGUAUAAUAGAGGAAUACAGAAUCGCGAGCCAGCACAUUACCAAUGCGACAACCAACAGGAACGCAUCUUUGGUCCGCAUGGCAAGUCGCAUCAUGCAUCCCUUGUUGGACCGUCCAAUGUUCC
This 190-nucleotide non-coding RNA is filed under the name Striatella unipunctata. Lineage: Eukaryota; Bacillariophyta; Striatellaphyceae; Striatellales; Striatellaceae. The record is from RNAcentral.